Non-coding RNA from Callorhinus ursinus (northern fur seal), 261 nucleotides. Lineage: Eukaryota; Metazoa; Chordata; Mammalia; Carnivora; Otariidae. The record is from RefSeq and is a predicted model, not a curated record.
UGGGAAAGGAGAGUAAAGGAAGUCUUCCUCCACGUUUGUUUGAGAGCAUGUUGGUGGAUCAAAGGCAUCCUAUAACAGGAUAACCUUCAGCUAAACCCAUUUUCCUCAGCUAAACCCAGAGUCCUGAGGAGAAUUUGAGAGCCCCACGACAGUGUUAAACCUGGUAGUUUCUACUUCAGAUAAAGGAUCAUAAUUAUUUUGGUGGGGGGUGGCCAGGGAGCAGGAAUUUGAGCAGUGUGGGCUUGGAGUGAGUUGAGAAAG